Molecule: ribosomal RNA, 450 nt
Filed under: uncultured bacterium
Lineage: Bacteria
Description: bacterial SSU rRNA
Rfam family: Bacterial small subunit ribosomal RNA
Source: RNAcentral
GGGUUAAGUCCCGCAACGAGCGCAACCCUUGUCAUUAGUUGCUACGAAAGGGCGCUCUAAUGAGACUGCCGGUGACAAACCGGAGGAAGGUGGGGAUGACGUCAAGUCCUCAUGGCCCCUAUAGGUGGGGCUACACACGUCAUACAAUGGCUGGUACAGAGGGUUGCCAACCCGCGAGGGGGAGCUAAUCCCAUAAAACCAGUCGUAGUCCGGAUCGCAGUCUGCAACUCGACUGCGUGAAGUCGGAAUCGCUAGUAAUCGCGGAUCAGCAUGUCGCGGUGAAUACGUUCCCGGGUCUUGUACACACCGCCCGUCACACCAUGGGAGCGGGUUCUGCCAGAAGUAGUUAGCCUAACCGCAAGGAGGGCGAUUACCACGGCAGGGUUCGUGACUGGGGUGAAGUCGUAACAAGGUAGCCGUAUCGGAAGGUGCGGCUGGAUCACCUCCUUU